This 1769-nucleotide long non-coding RNA is filed under the name Equus asinus (donkey). RNAcentral describes it as "lncRNA (ENSEASG00005025549.1)". The record is from RNAcentral. Lineage: Eukaryota; Metazoa; Chordata; Mammalia; Perissodactyla; Equidae.
AUUUUAAAAAAAUAACUGAAAUACCAUAUCCAACCUAAAUUUAAAAAAUAAUUCCUUAAUAUCAUAAACUAUCCAGGGAGUGUUCACAUUUCCAGUUGUCUUAUAAAUAUCACAGAUGUUUUUUGUAUGAUUUGUAUGAAUCAGAAUUCAAACACAGUCCACAUCAUGCUACUGGUUGCUAUGUCUCUAGUCUCUUUUUUCAUCCGCAGGCUCCCCUUCCAUCUCUUUUUUCCCCCUUGGAGUUAAUUUGUUGAAGGAACAAGAUCAUUUGUUGGGUAGAGUUUCCCCAGCUGGGAUUCUGCUGAUUGCAUCCCUGUGGUGGUAAUGUGGUUCCCUGAUGUCCGUAUUUCCUGGAAGCUGGUAAUCAGAUCCUCAGGCUUUGAUCUGAUUCAGGUUUGACUUAUUGGCAAGACUACAUCAUAGAAGGCGUGUUCUUCGUGUGUGGAAUCACAUCGGGUCUAGCUGUCUCUCUUUUUGUGAUGUGAGCAGCCAUUGAAGCUCGAUGGCAGGAUCCCUUCAAUCAGGAGGGUUCUUCACUCUAAUUCUAAUUCCAUCACUCCUUUUUCAGGAUGAGCUGGAGUGCUUCCAUAAAGAGACACGUCUCUCAUCUACAGCUUAGAUGCGCAGUGGUCCAAGGUACAAAUGGAGUCCGCCUACACUCUGACAGCCAUGAACCGACUCCAAGGACAUUGCUGUGCGCUGAGAAGCUGACACAGAGCAGAAUAAAGCACGAAGAUGACCAAACACAGACUGCCUGGUUUAUCCACAUAGCUGACUCUUCUGGAAUACCCUGCAUCUCAUUGCAGUGGAAGAUCAGGAAAUGAGAAAAACCUUAAUCUCAAAACUGGACGCAUCUACUCGAAUCAAGGAAGUCAGUCUCAUUUGAGAACAGCGCUCCCAGGCUCCCCAUCCACACUCGAAAGCUACACAAUGGCUUUUCCAAUCACAAGUCAAAUAAGCAUCUAAAGUUAAAGCCAUAAAGCCAUGAAAUAAAGCAUCAGGGAAUAACCCCACCCUGUCUCCCUUCCAGUUCCUGAGCGAGCGAGAGGUCCCAGGUUAGGGAUCUUGGCAUUUCUCCAUUCCUUUGCAGUCCCUAAACCAGCAAGACAGGAAUUAGCAAGAGCUGCAUCUAAUCUCCUCCAUAGCUUGUGGAUUUGCAUUAUUUACAUAUAUGGGAAGCACCCAUAAUUGAGUAAUUAUUCCAGCAUUUAAAGAAUGCCAAACAAUGAGCCAUUUCUUCUUCAGACCCGAUCUGGCCCAUUUCCGUUUUCCUCUUAGCACACUGUGUAGAAUUACCCAAUGUGUCACUUCCUAGAACACUGGAUUGUUUAUACAAGUAAGCAAGACUUCUUUGGCAGUAUUUAUUUCUCUCAUUUUAGACAUGAUGAUUGCAGCCUUCACAGUGCUCCCUUUUCUAGAAGCUUCUCAAGUGUUGAAUGUGUAUAGAUGCAAUUUUGUGCCUUCCUUUUUAAAAUAAGGGUUAUCCUUUGGGAAGAGGGGUGGGGAGAGAAGGCAGAAUCGAAGAGAGUAAAAAGUCUCGAAGCUCUGUGCUUGCUUGUCUGGCAUGCAAGGAGCGUGUUGGAUUUACUCCUUAACAAGCAUUUUAAAGAAAAUACUCUGCAAGCUAUACUUGAGUGCAUUUUAACAGUUUAGGAAAGAGAAUUUCCCAGAGGGUCUGAGAGGAUGAGAACAAGUAUUUGCAUCUGGAUUAUGGAGGACCUAAGUGGAUUUUUCCUGAGCUGUUUUUCCAUCAGAAAUCUUGGUGGGAG